This 747-nucleotide ribosomal RNA is filed under the name uncultured bacterium. RNAcentral's name for it is "bacterial SSU rRNA". It matches the Rfam family "Bacterial small subunit ribosomal RNA", at positions 93 to 827 of the family's 1533-position model. The record is from RNAcentral.
GAGUGGCGAACGGGUGAGUAACACGUGGGCAACCUGCCCAAAAGAGGGGGAUAACACUUGGAAACAGGUGCUAAUACCGCAUAACCAUAGUUACCGCAUGGUAACUAUGUAAAAGGUGGCUAUGCUACCGCUUUUGGAUGGGCCCGCGGCGCAUUAGCUAGUUGGUGGGGUAAAGGCUUACCAAGGCGAUGAUGCGUAGCCGAACUGAGAGGUUGAUCGGCCACAUUGGGACUGAGACACGGCCCAAACUCCUACGGGAGGCAGCAGUAGGGAAUCUUCCACAAUGGGCGAAAGCCUGAUGGAGCAACGCCGCGUGGGUGAAGAAGGUCUUCGGAUCGUAAAACCCUGUUGUUAGAGAAGAAAGUGCGUGAGAGUAACUGUUCACGUUUCGACGGUAUCUAACCAGAAAGCCACGGCUAACUACGUGCCAGCAGCCGCGGUAAUACGUAGGUGGCAAGCGUUAUCCGGAUUUAUUGGGCGUAAAGGGAACGCAGGCGGUCUUUUAAGUCUGAUGUGAAAGCCUUCGGCUUAACCGGAGUAGUGCAUUGGAAACUGGGAGACUUGAGUGCAGAAGAGGAGAGUGGAACUCCAUGUGUAGCGGUGAAAUGCGUAGAUAUAUGGAAGAACACCAGUGGCGAAAGCGGCUCUCUGGUCUGUAACUGACGCUGAGGUUCGAAAGCGUGGGUAGCAAACAGGAUUAGAUACCCUGGUAGUCCACGCCGUAAACGAUGAAUGCUAAGUGUUGGA